This 388-nucleotide ribosomal RNA is filed under the name uncultured bacterium. RNAcentral's name for it is "bacterial SSU rRNA". It matches the Rfam family "Bacterial small subunit ribosomal RNA", at positions 28 to 417 of the family's 1533-position model. The record is from RNAcentral.
GACGAACGCUGGCGGCGUGCUUAACACAUGCAAGUCGAGCGGUAAGGCCCUUUCGGGGGUACACGAGCGGCGAACGGGUGAGUAACACGUGGGUGACCUGCCCUCAGCUCUGGGAUAAGCCUGGGAAACCGGGUCUAAUACUGGAUAUGACUCCAUGACGCAUGUUGUGGGGUGGAAAGCCUUGUGCGGCUGAGGAUGGGCCCGCGGCCUAUCAGCUUGUUGGUGGGGGAUGGCCUACCAAGGCGACGACGGGUAGCCGGCCCGAGAGGGCGACCGGCCGACACUGGGACUGAGACACGGCCCAGACUCCUACGGGAGGCAGCAGUGGGGAAUCUUGCGCAAUGGGCGAAAGCCUGACGCAGCGACGCCGCGUGAGGGAUGACGGCCU